GUCAAUUGAUGAAAUCAUGAAAUGUCCCUGUAGCUUAGUGAUAGGGAAGGACUUUUUAAAACCAACCUUCAUAAUCACAUAUCAAUGGCAAAUGUGUGUGUAUGGUGUGUGUGUGUGUGUGUGUGUGUGUGUCUGUCUGUCUGUCU
RNAcentral lists this small RNA (146 nucleotides) under Marmota monax (woodchuck). Lineage: Eukaryota; Metazoa; Chordata; Mammalia; Rodentia; Sciuridae. The record is from RNAcentral.